Molecule: ribosomal RNA, 405 nt
Filed under: Rhizobium leguminosarum
Lineage: Bacteria; Pseudomonadati; Pseudomonadota; Alphaproteobacteria; Hyphomicrobiales; Rhizobiaceae
Also listed under: 1 other name
Description: bacterial SSU rRNA
Rfam family: Bacterial small subunit ribosomal RNA
Source: RNAcentral
GGCUCAGAACGAACGCUGGCGGCAGGCUUAACACAUGCAAGUCGAGCGCCCCGCAAGGGGAGCGGCAGACGGGUGAGUAACGCGUGGGAAUCUACCCUUGACUACGGAAUAACGCAGGGAAACUUGUGCUAAUACCGUAUGUGUCCUUCGGGAGAAAGAUUUAUCGGUCAAGGAUGAGCCCGCGUUGGAUUAGCUAGUUGGUGGGGUAAAGGCCUACCAAGGCGACGAUCCAUAGCUGGUCUGAGAGGAUGAUCAGCCACAUUGGGACUGAGACACGGCCCAAACUCCUACGGGAGGCAGCAGUGGGGAAUAUUGGACAAUGGGCGCAAGCCUGAUCCAGCCAUGCCGCGUGAGUGAUGAAGGCCCUAGGGUUGUAAAGCUCUUUCACCGGAGAAGAUAAUGACG